This 353-nucleotide ribosomal RNA is filed under the name Blastocystis sp. RNAcentral's name for it is "SSU rRNA". It matches the Rfam family "Eukaryotic small subunit ribosomal RNA", at positions 570 to 933 of the family's 1831-position model. The record is from RNAcentral. Lineage: Eukaryota; Bigyra; Opalinata; Blastocystidae.
GCAGCCGCGGUAAUUCCAGCUCCAAUAGCGUAUAUUAACGUUGUUGCAGUUAAAAAGCUCGUAGUUGAAGUGUGGGUGAUCGCUGUUGUGAGACUUCGGUCUCUCGACAGUAAGUCACCCCCUUCCAGUAUCCAGUAGUGGGUAUUCACUUACUUACUACUGUGUGUUGGUCGUUUACUGUGAGAAAAUUAGAGUGUUCAAAGCAGGCGUUUGCUUGAAUAGAUUAGCAUGGAAUAAUAAUUGAAGGCUUUCGUGUUCGAUUUGAUUGGUUUGUUCAUGGAAGCAAGGUUAAAAGGAACAGUUGGGGGUAUUCAUAUUCACUAGUUAGAGGUGAAAUUCUCGGAUUUAUGGAA